AUGGGGGGCCAAUGCUCCAAACUCAUACCAUGCUGCGGGGAUUCACAAUUCAAUGCAGCCGCAGUUCUUGAAGCUCCAACUAUUGAAAAUGUGGAGAAGAGCGAGGUUGACUACUUGCCUAGAUUUUGUGAAUUCACACUUGAGCAACUCAAAAAUGCGACAUCUGGUUUUGCAGUGGAAUACAUUAUAUCUGAACAGGGAGAGAAGGCUCCAAAUGUUGUUUAUAAAGGGAAAUUGGAAAACCAGAUGAGAAUUGCUGUUAAGCGCUUCAAUAAGGUGGCUUGGCCUGAUGCUCGGCAAUUUGUGGAGGAGGCAAGAUUGGUUGGUCAGCUCCGCAACCAUAGAUUGGUUAAUUUGCUUGGCUGCUGCGGCCAAGGUGAUGAGAGGUUGCUUGUGGCAGAAUAUAUGCCCAAUGACACACUUGCAAAACACCUUUUCCAUUGGGAUGCACAGCCUAUGAAAUGGACAAUGCGAUUAAGGGUUGUUUUACAUCUUGCGCAAGCCCUAGAAUACUGCACAAGCAAGGGGCGUGCCCUUUAUCAUGACCUUAAUGCUUACAGAGUUUUAUUUGAUGAGAAUAGUAAUCCUAGAUUAUCUACAUUUGGUUUGAUGAAAAAUAGUAGGGACGGGAAGAGUUAUAGUACAAAUCUGGCAUUUACUCCUCCUGAAUAUCUUAGAACUGGGAGAGUGACACCAGACAGUGUGAUUUACAGCUUUGGGACUCUUUUACUCGAUCUUCUCAGUGGAAAGCAUAUUCCCCCUAGUCAUGCCCUAGACCUAAUUAGGGACAGAAAUCUUCAGAUGCUGACAGAUUCGUGCUUGGAAGGACAGCUGUCUCAAGAUGAUGGUACUGAAUUGGUACGCUUGGCUUCGCGAUGUUUACAAUCUGAACCUCGAGAGCGACCAAAUCCAAAGUCAUUAGUAGCUGCAUUGACUACUCUUCAGAAAGAAACUGAGAUUCCUUCUCAUGUUUUGAUGGGUAUCCCGCACACUAACUCCUGCUCUCCUCUUUCACCACUUGGUGAAGCCUGCUCCAGAAGGGAUUUGACUGCAGUCCAUGAGAUCCUAGAGAAUAUCGGCUACAAAGAUGAUGGAAUGACAAAUGAGCUCUCGUUCCAAAUGUGGACUGACCAAAUGCAGGAAACGUUAGAUUCAAAGAAAAUGGGGAUUCCGCUUUUAAGAAAAAGGACUUCAGAACUGCAAUCGAGUGUUAUUCACAGUUCAUUGAUAUUGGAAACAUGGUUUCUCCCACAAUCUUUGCCCGUCGUAGUUUGUCUUAUCUCAUGGAUGGGAUGCCUCAGGAAGCUCUGAACGAUGCAAUGCAAGCUCAAGUAGUUUCCCCAAUAUGGCACAUUGCAUCUUAUCUACAGGCUGCUGCCCUUUCUGCACUCGGAAUGGAGAUGGAGGCACAAUCAGCACUGAAGGAGGGUACUGUUCUUGAAGCCAAAAGGAACACUGCAGCUGGACACAAGUGAUAAUCAAGGCUCAGGUACCAAACCAGACACCACUCAGUUUUGCUCUCAAUAGAUAUAGGUGUUAACAGAAAGUCCCAAACAGGGGAAGUCAAAGCUUCAUUCAUUAUCAAGAUGUUUCAUAGAUGUUGAGCACUUCAAGAAGCAUGUAAUAUAUGUACAAAGACAAUUCUUUUUUUUUUUUUGGUCUGAAGUACAAAGACAAUUCAUGUCUAUUCUUUCUGGUGAAACACAGCUCGAGUUGUGAAAGGAGCUCGAGUGUUGCAGUCCAUAAGUAC
This is an RNA transcript of Fragaria vesca subsp. vesca, 1750 nucleotides long. It is a transcript of the gene named probable serine/threonine-protein kinase At5g41260-like, with no coding region annotated. Lineage: Eukaryota; Viridiplantae; Streptophyta; Magnoliopsida; Rosales; Rosaceae. The transcript has 10 exons. The record is from RefSeq and is a predicted model, not a curated record.